CUUUCUUUUCCCUCUGCUGUGCUAUUUCAUCUGUACUUGGAGGUGUGACAGCCUCUAAAUUUUAGGUGCAAAGGUUUGUCUUUAAUCAGAUAGUAGAAUUAUUCUUAGGGUUUGAGAGAGACAAAUGGGAUAAAAGCAUUACCUGCUGGCAAAUGCGGCUUAAAGGUUCAGGAACCAUGGACUGAAGUGAGCUUUCCAUUUGUUUCACGCAGGGAAACUGGCGGCUGAGGCUCCUGGGGAUCGUGACUGGUUCUGGACAUGACUGGCUGUGGCAGAACUGAGUGGCACUCAGUGGAUUUUAGCAAAGCAUCAGAAUCCUCUGGGGAGUUCUUGCAAACUGCACAGGAGGAAUACAAGGCUUUCUGCUGACAUCUUUGCAUAUUUUCAGUGCAUUUG
This 396-nucleotide long non-coding RNA is filed under the name Castor canadensis (American beaver). RNAcentral describes it as "lncRNA (ENSCCNG00000029880.1)". Lineage: Eukaryota; Metazoa; Chordata; Mammalia; Rodentia; Castoridae. The record is from RNAcentral.